GCCGACUUAGCUCAACGGCAGAGCAACUGUAUCGUAAACAGUAGGUUGUCGGUUCAAGUCCGACAGUCGGCU
This 72-nucleotide transfer RNA is filed under the name Candidatus Roizmanbacteria bacterium. RNAcentral's name for it is "tRNA-Thr". It matches the Rfam family "tRNA". From Rfam's summary of the family: Transfer RNA (tRNA) molecules are approximately 80 nucleotides in length. Their secondary structure includes four short double-helical elements and three loops (D, anti-codon, and T loops). Further hydrogen bonds mediate the characteristic L-shaped molecular structure. tRNAs have two regions of fundamental functional importance: the anti-codon, which is responsible for specific mRNA codon recognition, and the 3' end, to which the tRNAs corresponding amino acid is attached (by aminoacyl-tRNA synthetases). tRNAs cope with the degeneracy of the genetic code in two manners: having more than one tRNA (with a specific anti-codon) for a particular amino acid; and 'wobble' base-pairing, i.e. permitting non-standard base-pairing at the 3rd anti-codon position. The record is from RNAcentral. Lineage: Bacteria; Candidatus Roizmaniibacteriota.